UACAGAGACUGCAAGCGUUAUUCGGAUUCACUGGGCGUAAAGGGUGCGCAGGCGGCCGUGUGUGUGAGGCGUGAAAGCCCGGGGCUUAACCCCGGAAUUGCACCUCAAACUACAUGGCUAGAGCAUUGGAGAGGGUAGCGGAAUUCACGGUGUAGCAGUGAAAUGCGUAGAUAUCGUGAGGAACACCAGAGGCGAAGGCGGCUACCUGGACAAUUUGCUGACGCUCAGGCACGAAAGCGUGGGGAGCAAAAGGG
Molecule: ribosomal RNA, 254 nt
Filed under: uncultured bacterium
Lineage: Bacteria
Description: partial 16S ribosomal RNA
Rfam family: Bacterial small subunit ribosomal RNA
Source: RNAcentral